CCUACGGGUGACAGCAGUGGGGAAUAUUGCACAAUGGGCGAAACCCUGAUGCAGCAACGCCGCGUGAAGGAAGAAGGCUUUCGGGAUGUAAAGUUCUUUUCUCAGGGACGAAACAAACGACGCUACACGAAGAAUAAGCCACUGCUAACUACGUACCAGCAGCAGCGGUAAUAAGUAGGUGGCAAGCGUUCUCCGGAUGUACUGGGUGUAAAGGGCGUGUAGGCGGGAGAGCAAGUCAGAUGUGAAAGCCAUGGGCUCAACCUGUGGACUGCAUUUGAAACUGUUUUGCUUGAGUGCUGGAGAGGCAUGCGGAAUUCCUAGUGUAGCGGUGAAAUGCGUAGAUAUUAGGAGGAACACCAGUGGCGAAGGCGGUUUGCUGGACUGUAACUGACGUUGAGGCGCGAAAGCGUGGGGAGCAAACAGGAUUAGAUACCCUUGUAGUC
RNAcentral lists this ribosomal RNA (443 nucleotides) under uncultured bacterium. RNAcentral describes it as "partial 16S ribosomal RNA". It matches the Rfam family "Bacterial small subunit ribosomal RNA", at positions 338 to 795 of the family's 1533-position model. The record is from RNAcentral.